Molecule: non-coding RNA, 559 nt
Organism: Cinara cedri
Lineage: Eukaryota; Metazoa; Arthropoda; Insecta; Hemiptera; Aphididae
Source: the annotation of a GenBank genome assembly
GGCGUGUUUUUGCGAUGCAAUUUUCAGUAAUUAGUUUUCUGAAUUGUUUGCUGUUGUUUGCUACUUGGUGGAUUACUCGUCAAAACGUUUUAUUUGUUGUAUAAUAUUUUUUGUUACAUAAAAUUGAUGGAAUGAUUGAAUGAUAGUCCUUAUCAGUAGAUUAUUAGUAACCGAAAACAGUAAACAAUGUCGCUAAAACAGUUUGUUCACUAAACUAGGAACCUGGUUACUCAAAAUUGCAUCGCCAAAACACACCUAUUUCUGAAUAUCUGAAUGGGUAAUCUAAACAAAAAUUAUAGGUAUCUACCUGAUUAAAUUUUAGCGAGUGGCAAUUUUAAUAAAACAAUUUAAUCACUGUAAUAUUUUAUGAUCAUAAAAUUCGUUUAGAUAUUUACCAAAUUAAAAGUAAUAAUUAAAUAUUUUAUUCAUACAAAACAAUUUUGUGGCCGACUGCAUGAUUCAGUCAUAGGCUCGGCCAAUUUACUAACUCAUCUAAAUUCAUUGUCUGAAUGUUACACUAAAUGAUGAAUCAAACUUUUGUACCUAAUCAUAAUAAAAC